Molecule: ribosomal RNA, 266 nt
Filed under: uncultured bacterium
Lineage: Bacteria
Description: partial 16S ribosomal RNA
Rfam family: Bacterial small subunit ribosomal RNA
Source: RNAcentral
GUCCACGCCGUAAACGAUGUGUGCUUGACGUUGGCGGGUUUACCCGCCGGUGUCGCAGCUAACGCGAUAAGCACACCGCCUGGGGAGUACGGCCGCAAGGUUAAAACUCAAAGGAAUUGACGGGGGCCCGCACAAGCGGUGGAGCAUGUGGUUUAAUUCGACGCAACGCGAAGAACCUUACCAGCCCUUGACAUGGGGAGUAUGGGUUGCCGAGAGGUGAUCCUUCAGUUCGGCUGGCUCCCACACAGGUGCUGCAUGGCUGUCGU